UAUACUGUCAUAUUUUUUCGUCACCUUUGCCAUUGUUGUUUGAUCUUUUUGAUCCCGGAGUUUUACUUUUUGAUCCCGCUGAUCCCGGAUUUUGUACGAUGAUUAUGGCUAUAUGCAGAAGACAGAAGUUGGAGUACCGAAUAUCGUUCCGAUACGUUUCGAUAAAGGCUCAUAUACCAAUUAGGUUGCGGAUUAGUGUGAUGCUGUCCCACGAAAUUCCCAAUCUAGAUGGCGAAUUGGAUUGCAAGAAUGUGCAUCCUUAGGAGUUCCAAUGUCGACCAAUUUCAACAUAAGCAAACAUUGAUUGCUCUGCAAUGCACGGAACCAUCCGUCAAGCUAGGUAUCAAUCCGAACAAAAAAUAUAUCCUCCGGAUCGUUUGAGCACGGUAGCUGCUGGUACUCUAUGCGCCGUUACAAAAAACCGGUCAUCUUCCUGAAGAAUCCAUAUUUUUUGAUUCCAAGAAAUUACGGAGAUUGUAGCUGCCGUUCGUUAAACGAAAAUCGAAGAAAACAAGGACAAAAUCAACAUCCAUUAAUGAACUGGAAGCGAAGAAUCAUCACAGGAAUUAACUGUUGCAGCAAAUAGAUUUCAAAUAGAAUUGGAUAGUAACAAAAUCCAAAAAGUGCGAAGCUAGAACAAGGAUCGGUAAAACCUGGGAGGUGAAACAAAAUCAGCGCACUCGAACAAAUUAAGGCCCCAUGGAUCAGCGAAGGCAAAGAGUUCGGAGUGAAGAACAUCCAGUUAAAGCUCAACAAACUCGAGGAAGUGGAUGAAAUAUGAGCAGAAACAUUUAUAUUUUAAGUUGCAGCAUUUUUUUAUUGUUCACAAAAAUAAAUAC
This is a long non-coding RNA of Armigeres subalbatus, 839 nucleotides long. RefSeq lists it as uncharacterized. The transcript is spliced from 3 exons. The record is from RefSeq and is a predicted model, not a curated record. NCBI's taxonomy places the organism in Eukaryota, Metazoa, Arthropoda, Insecta, Diptera, Culicidae.